RNAcentral lists this ribosomal RNA (305 nucleotides) under uncultured bacterium. Its description in RNAcentral is "bacterial SSU rRNA". It matches the Rfam family "Bacterial small subunit ribosomal RNA", at positions 333 to 636 of the family's 1533-position model. The record is from RNAcentral.
GGACUCCUACGGGGCGCAGCAGUGAGGAAUAUUGGUCAAUGGCCGAGAGGCUGAACCAGCCACGUCGCGUGAGGGAUGACGGCCCUACGGGUUGUAACCCUCUUUUGUCGGGGAGCAAAGAGAGUCACGUGUGACUCAUUGAGAGUACCCGAAGAAAAAGCAUCGGCUAACUCCGUGCCAGCAGCCGCGGUAAUACGGAGGAUGCGAGCGUUAUCCGGAUUUAUUGGGUUUAAAGGGUGCGCAGGCGGUCUGUUAAGUCAGCGGUCAAAGCCCGGGGCUCAACCCCGGCCCGCCGUUGAAACUGC